This 374-nucleotide ribosomal RNA is filed under the name uncultured eukaryote. Its description in RNAcentral is "partial 18S ribosomal RNA". It matches the Rfam family "Eukaryotic small subunit ribosomal RNA", at positions 592 to 976 of the family's 1831-position model. The record is from RNAcentral.
UAAUAGUGUAUAUUAAAGUUGUUGCAGUUAAAAAGCUCGUAGUUGAAUGUUGGUGUCGAACGAGCGGUCAGCUUCGGCUGUACUGCUAUCUCGACUCCUUCCUUCUGUGGACUACGUCGCACUUUACUGUGUGGCGCUAGGACGCAGAUCGUUUACUGUGAAAAAAUUAGAGUGUUCAAAGCAGGCCGUACGCUUGAAUACAUUAGCAUGGAAUAAUGGAAUAGGACGUCGGGCCUAUUUUGUUGGUUCUAGGACCGUCGUAAUGAUUAAUAGGGACAGUUGGGGCCGUUUAUAUUCCGUAGUCAGAGGUGAAAUUCUUGGAUUUACGGAAGAUAAACUACUGCGAAAGCAUUCGGCAAGGAUGUUUUCGUUAA